Molecule: small nuclear RNA, 19 nt
Filed under: Arabidopsis thaliana (thale cress)
Lineage: Eukaryota; Viridiplantae; Streptophyta; Magnoliopsida; Brassicales; Brassicaceae
Description: snRNA_10125
Source: RNAcentral
CUGCGGUAUUUUUGGACCU